GCGACCGGGAGCUGCUGAGCGAGGGAGCCCCAAAGAAGCAAACAGCUAUGGUGUGAACUGUCUAUGGAGAAGGCCACAUGGCAUGGAACUACAGGAUGUUUCCAGGACCUGAGAGUGGCCUCUACCUGAUACGGCCAGUAAAAUUCUAGGAUUCUCCAUCAUACAUACAGCUGCAAGCAAAUAAAUUCUGCCAACAACUUAAAUGAGUCUGGAAGUUGGUUCUUCCCCAGUCAGACCUCCAGAUGAGAACACAGACCACCCAAUGCCCUGACUGCAGCCUGAUGAGACCCUGAGCAGAGGACCCAGCUAAGCUGCACCUGGAAUCCUGACCCACAGAAACUAUGAUACAAUAAAUGGGUGUUGUGUUAAACUGCUA
RNAcentral lists this long non-coding RNA (376 nucleotides) under Homo sapiens (human). RNAcentral describes it as "HSALNT0227576". The record is from RNAcentral. Lineage: Eukaryota; Metazoa; Chordata; Mammalia; Primates; Hominidae.